CCAAUAGCGUAUAUUAAAGUUGUUGCAGUUAAAAAGCUCGUAGUUGAAUUUCGGGAUCAAUAUAUCGGUCGUGCCUUGGUACGUACUGGUAUCAUUGGUUUCUCCUUUCUGACGAACCAUGAUGUCAUUAAUUUGGUGUUAUGGGAAGUUAGGACUGUUACUUUGAAAAAACUAGAGUGUUUAAAGCAGGCUUUAGCUUGAAUACAUUAGCAUGGAAUAAUGAAAUAGGACGUUCGAACCUAUUUUGUUGGUUUCUAGGAUCAACGUAAUGAUUAAUAGGGAUAGUUGGGGGCAUUAGUAUUCAAUUGUCAGAGGUGAAAUUCUUGGAUUUAUUGAAGACUAACUACUGCGAAAGCAUUUGCCAAGGAUGUUUUCAUUAAUCAAGAACGAAAGUUAGGGGAUCGAAGACGAUCAGAUACCGUCGUAGUCUUAACCAUAAACUAUGCCGACUAGGGAUCGGAUGAUGUUAAUUUUUUAAUGACUCAUUCGGCGCCUUACG
This 499-nucleotide ribosomal RNA is filed under the name uncultured Glomeromycotina. RNAcentral describes it as "partial small subunit ribosomal RNA". It matches the Rfam family "Eukaryotic small subunit ribosomal RNA", at positions 591 to 1092 of the family's 1831-position model. Lineage: Eukaryota; Fungi; Glomeromycota. The record is from RNAcentral.